AGUAUGUUUCUAUGAACGAAGCAAGGUCAAUUAAAGAAAACCAAGCUCUGAUCUUGGAAAAACUUGAAAGUUUUGGCAAACUUUUAAAUGGAAGUUCACAUCUUGCACAUCAAAGCGCUGAAGAAUUGAAAAUAAUAAAUAAUUUAUUUGACUUGAUAAGGAAGAAGUAAAAUUAGAAGAAAAAGCAUAUAUGAAAAUGAAGAAAUUACAAUUAAUGUCAAUUUGUGGCAAGAAUGUGCGAAAUUCAGUGAAAAUGUUUUGGAUGCAAUGUUUACAAGAUCACUCCAGCAACAGUUUAGUAAAGAUGGCCUAAAAGGCAAGCGUGCUUUUGUUAAGACAAAUCAUUACAAAUGUCUUAUAGGUAAAACUGUAUAUUUAGUAUUGGCUUUUUUAUUUUAAAUUUAAACCUGUUUUAGAUAUUCUUUUUUAUAAAUAUAUAGAAAUUCAUGACUUUGAAUUAAUAGUUUGUAACAAUAAUGGUGGCUGUCUUGUUGUUGUGUUUAGGUUUAUACUUGAGUUUGUAAAGUUAUGCGAAGAAAAUUAUUUUAGACCACAUGACUUGUUGCCUAACUGGUUUAUUUUAGGCCUCGAGCUAGUUUUAAAGUUUUUCUAGAAAUCCAAAUAGUUCAAUGUUUUUUGAUCAUCUGUUUGACAAUAAGAAUUAACAUAGGAAUGCUCAAUUUUCUUAAAAUUAAUUUUUCAUGAAAACAUUAUUAUAUUGUAAAAGUUUUUGUUAAUCUUAUAUUAUAUUGAAUAUAUACAGCUCUAACACAUCUUGUAUUUUUAUUAUGUACACUACAAGAGUCUGAUAUGAGGAGCUAGUAAUCCGAUAAUAAUUUUAUUUCUUAUAAAUCACAUUAAUUGAUGUCAAAUUAUUAUCUUUUUUUGUAGGAGCGAUAGUUGAUCCAGCAAAGGACAACUAUAACAAAAGUUCAGUUGAUUACCUUGUUGAUGACUUAAAACGAGCUGUCAAAAAGUAGUUGUCGAAAACACACCCUGAACACCCUAAUUUGCUUAAACACCCUAAUAAUUCCUAACACCCUGAACACCCUAAUAUGCUUAUACUUUUUGUUGUGAAACAUGUUUUGUUUUUGUGAUUCUUUAGCAUGCCAAUUCUAUUUUGAAACUUUACUCAAUUAUAUUUGAUUAAAACAAAACUUUUUAUCAAUUUAUGUUAA
This is a non-coding RNA of Hydra vulgaris (swiftwater hydra), 1178 nucleotides long. The record is from RefSeq and is a predicted model, not a curated record. NCBI's taxonomy places the organism in Eukaryota, Metazoa, Cnidaria, Hydrozoa, Anthoathecata, Hydridae.